This 1170-nucleotide ribosomal RNA is filed under the name Biolleyana sp. Its description in RNAcentral is "SSU rRNA". It matches the Rfam family "Eukaryotic small subunit ribosomal RNA", at positions 594 to 1691 of the family's 1831-position model. The record is from RNAcentral. Lineage: Eukaryota; Metazoa; Arthropoda; Insecta; Hemiptera; Nogodinidae.
AUAGCGUAAUUAAAGUGUGCGGUAAAAGUUGUAGUUGAUCUGGNUCCGCACCGUCGGUUCACGCCGUCGGNUUCAACUGGCGGUAUGCGGACGUCCUGCCGGUGCGGUCCGGUUCCCGUCGGUCGUAGGGCCGUCCUUGCUCUGCAUGCGUCGUCCCCGAAGGCCUUCGCGGUGCAUCCGGCCGCCUUUUCAAUCCCGUCGCGGUGCUCUUCACCGAGUGUCGAGGCGGGCCGGCACGUUUACUUUGAACAAAUUAGAGUGCUUUAAGCAGGCCCUGUCCCGCCUGUAUGUUGUGUGCAUGGAAUAAUGGAAUAGGACCUCGGUUCUAUUUUGUUGGUUUUCGGAAUCUGAGGUAAUGAUCAAUGGGGACAGGCGGGGGCAUUCGUAUUGCGACGUUAGAGGUGAAAUUCUUGGAUCGUCGCAAGACGGACCGAAGCGAAAGCAUUUGCCAAGUAUGUUCUCGUCGAUCAAGAACGAAAGUUAGAGGUUCGAAGGCGAUCAGAUACCGCCCUAGUUCUAACCAUAAACUAUGCCUGCCAGCGAUCCGCCGAAGUUCCUCCGAUGACUCGGCGGGCAGCUUCCGGGAAACCAGAGCUUUUGGGUUCCGGGGGAAGUAUGGUUGCAAAGCUGAAACUUAAAGGAAUUGACGGAAGGGCACCACCAGGAGUGGAGCCUGCGGCUUAAUUUGACUCAACACGGGAAAACUCACCAGGCCCGGACACCGGAAGGAUUGACAGAUUGAGAGCUCUUUCUUGAUUCGGUGGGUGGUGGUGCAUGGCCGUUCUUAGUUGGUGGAGCGAUUUGUCUGGUUAAUUCCGAUAACGAACGAGACUCUAGCCUACUAACUAGGCGUACCCGGUAUCCACAAUCGUGCUACCGGCGACCAAAUUUCUUCUUAGAGGGACAGGCGGCUUCUAGCCGCACGAGACUGAGCAAUAACAGGUCUGUGAUGCCCUUAGAUGUCCUGGGCCGCACGCGCGCUACACUGAAGGAAUCAGCGUGUCUUCCCUGUCCGAAAGGACCGGGUAACCCGCUGAACCUCCUUUGUGCUAGGGAUUGGGGCUUGCAAUUGUUCCCCAUGAACGAGGAAUUCACCAGUAAGCGCGAGUCAUAAGCUCGCGUUGAUUACGUCCCUGCCCUUUGUACACACCGUCCCNUUGNUCAGGGGUU